This 492-nucleotide ribosomal RNA is filed under the name uncultured bacterium. RNAcentral describes it as "partial 16S ribosomal RNA". It matches the Rfam family "Bacterial small subunit ribosomal RNA", at positions 29 to 507 of the family's 1533-position model. The record is from RNAcentral.
AGUGAACGCUGGCGGUAGGCCUAACACAUGCAAGUCGAACGGCAGCACAGUAAGAGCUUGCUCUUACGGGUGGCGAGUGGCGGACGGGUGAGGAAUACAUCGGAAUCUACUUUUUCGUGGGGGAUAACGUAGGGAAACUGACGCUAAUACCGCAUACGACCUACGGGUGAAAGCAGGGGAUCUUCGGACCUUGCGCGAUUGAAUGAGCCGAUGUCGGAUUAGCUAGUUGGCGGGGUAAAGGCCCACCAAGGCGACGAGCCGUAGCUGGUCUGAGAGGAUGAUCAGCCACACUGGAACUGAGACACGGUCCAGACUCCUACGGGAGGCAGCAGUAGGGAAUAUUGGACAAUGGGCGCAAGCCUGAUCCAGCCAUACCGCGUGGGUGAAGAAGGCCUUCGGAUUGUAAAGCCCUUUUGUUGGGAAAGAAAAGCAGCAGGUUAAUACCCCGCUGUUCUGACGGUACCCAAAGAAUAAGCACCGGCUAACUUCGUG